This 494-nucleotide ribosomal RNA is filed under the name uncultured bacterium. RNAcentral's name for it is "bacterial SSU rRNA". It matches the Rfam family "Bacterial small subunit ribosomal RNA", at positions 28 to 511 of the family's 1533-position model. The record is from RNAcentral.
GAUGAACGCUAGCUACAGGCUUAACACAUGCAAGUCGAGGGGCAGCAUGGUCUUAGCUUGCUAAGGCCGAUGGCGACCGGCGCACGGGUGAGUAACACGUAUCCAACCUGCCGUCUACUCUUGGACAGCCUUCUGAAAGGAAGAUUAAUACAAGAUGGCAUCAUGAGUCCGCAUGUUCACAUGAUUAAAGGUAUUCCGGUAGACGAUGGGGAUGCGUUCCAUUAGGUAGUAGGCGGGGUAACGGCCCACUAGCCUACGAUGGAUAGGGGUUCUGAGAGGAAGGCCCCCCACAUUGGAACUGAGACACGGUCCAAACUCCUACGGGAGGCAGCAGUGAGGAAUAUUGGUCAAUGGACGAGAGUCUGAACCAGCCAAGUAGCGUGCAGGAAGACGGCCCUAUGGGUUGUAAACUGCUUUUAAUAAGGGAAUAAAGUGAGUCUCGUGAGACUUUUUGCAUGUACCUUAUGAAUAAGGACCGGCUAAUUCCGUGCCAG